Molecule: ribosomal RNA, 226 nt
Filed under: uncultured bacterium
Lineage: Bacteria
Description: partial 16S ribosomal RNA
Rfam family: Bacterial small subunit ribosomal RNA
Source: RNAcentral
GCGUUGUCCGGAAUUAUUGGGCGUAAAGAGCUCGUAGGCGGCUUGGCAAGUCGGGUGUGAAAACUUCAGGCUCAACCUGGAGGUGCCACUCGAGACUGCUAUGGCUAGAGUCCGGUAGGGGACCACGGAAUUCCUGGUGUAGCGGUGAAAUGCGCAGAUAUCAGGAGGAACACCGGUGGCGAAGGCGGUGGUCUGGGCCGGCACUGACGCUGAGGAGCGAAAGCGU